Rhineura floridana is the source of this 448-nucleotide long non-coding RNA. RefSeq lists it as uncharacterized. The record is from RefSeq and is a predicted model, not a curated record. The transcript has 3 exons. NCBI's taxonomy places the organism in Eukaryota, Metazoa, Chordata, Lepidosauria, Squamata, Rhineuridae.
GGCUGGUCCGCGAGAGACAGGCAGGGAAGUAACACGCACGCGCCGGGAGAGAGGCAUAGCUGCUGCUGCUGCUGCCGUCGUCUUUUUCCGACUCUUACCUGAGAGGUCACAUCCCUUAAAGUUAGGCUACUAUGGUGAAAGCACUGAGAUGGGAGAGGUUUCCUCCCACCAACAUGAUGAGGAUGAAAAUACCACACACACCCCAGCUGAUUUGCAUCCAUCAGUGCAAGAAGCAGAUCAGAUGUCUAUUCCUUUAACGAGGGAUGCCUCUAGUAUGAUGUUGAACUCCUGCAAAGUCUGCAACACACGAAUCAAGGAAUUCACUAAAGUAUGAUCCUUUAUGAGUGCUGUGUCUUCAUACAUCUGAGUUGUGAUGGGACAGUCUGCCAGUAAGGCAAUCCAAUGGUGUAAGAGGUGAUCUCUGCAAGGGAAAAUUUUAGAAUUCCAA